RNAcentral lists this ribosomal RNA (451 nucleotides) under uncultured bacterium. Its description in RNAcentral is "bacterial SSU rRNA". It matches the Rfam family "Bacterial small subunit ribosomal RNA", at positions 29 to 524 of the family's 1533-position model. The record is from RNAcentral.
AACGAACGCUGGCGGCAUGCCUAACACAUGCAAGUCGAACGAGACCUUCGGGUCUAGUGGCGCACGGGUGCGUAACGCGUGGGAACCUGCCUUUAGGUUCGGAAUAACUCAGAGAAAUUUGAGCUAAUACCGGAUAAUGUCUUCGGACCAAAGAUUUAUCGCCUUUAGAUGGGCCCGCGUAAGAUUAGCUAGUUGGUGGGUAAAGGCCUACCAAGGCGACGAUCUUUAGCUGGUCUGAGAGGAUGAUCAGCCACACUGGGACUGAGACACGGCCCAGACUCCUACGGGAGGCAGCAGUGGGGAAUAUUGGACAAUGGGCGAAAGCCUGAUCCAGCAAUGCCGCGUGAGUGAUGAAGGCCUUAGGGUUGUAAAAGCUCUUUUACCCGAGAUGAUAAUGACAGUAUCGGGAGAAUAAGCUCCGGGCUAACUCCGUGCCAGCAGCCGCGGUAAU